This 253-nucleotide ribosomal RNA is filed under the name uncultured bacterium. Its description in RNAcentral is "partial 16S ribosomal RNA". It matches the Rfam family "Bacterial small subunit ribosomal RNA", at positions 524 to 776 of the family's 1533-position model. The record is from RNAcentral.
UACAGAGGUCUCAAGCGUUGUUCGGAUUCAUUGGGCGUAAAGGGUGCGUAGGUGGCGCGGUAAGUCGGGUGUGAAAUCUCGGAGCUUAACUCCGAAAUUGCAUUCGAUACUGCCGUGCUUGAGGACUGGAGAGGAGACUGGAAUUCAUGGUGUAGCAGUGAAAUGCGUAGAGAUCAUGAGGAAGACCAGUGGCGAAGGCGGGUCUCUGGACAGUUCCAGACACUGAGGCACGAAGGCCAGGGGAGCAAACGGG